CGCGUAGGCGGCCUGGUCAGUCGGAUGUGAAAGCCCCGGGCUUAACCUGGGAAUUGCAUUCGAUACUGCCGGGCUGGAGUGUAGUAGAGGGAAGCGGAAUUCCGGGUGUAGCGGUGAAAUGCGUAGAGAUCCGGAGGAACAUCAGUGGCGAAGGCGGCUUCCUGGACUAACACUGACGCUGAGGUGCGAAAGCGUGGGGAGCAAACA
This 207-nucleotide ribosomal RNA is filed under the name uncultured bacterium. RNAcentral's name for it is "partial 16S ribosomal RNA". It matches the Rfam family "Bacterial small subunit ribosomal RNA", at positions 568 to 774 of the family's 1533-position model. The record is from RNAcentral.